GGUGGCCCCGCAAAACUGCAGGUCGAAAGGUAAAAGGAAGAUUUUGCCUGUAUGCUGAGAGUGGCGGACGGGUGAGUUAUGCCUUGGAAACUGCCUGAUGGAGGGGGACCGGACUGGAAACUGUUGCUAAUACCGCAUAACGUCGCAAGACCAAAGAGGGGGACCUUCCGGCCUCUUGCCAUCGGAUGUGCCCAGAUGGCAUUAGCUAGUGGUGGGGUAACGGCUCACCACGGCGACGAUCUGUUCCUGGUCUGAGAGGAUGACCACUCACACUGGAACUGAGACACGGUCCCGACUCCUACGGGAGGCGUCUUUGGGAUU
Molecule: ribosomal RNA, 321 nt
Filed under: Enterobacteriaceae bacterium NAIP13
Lineage: Bacteria; Pseudomonadati; Pseudomonadota; Gammaproteobacteria; Enterobacterales; Enterobacteriaceae
Description: bacterial SSU rRNA
Rfam family: Bacterial small subunit ribosomal RNA (bases 22-309)
Source: RNAcentral